GUCACCUGCAUUAUUUCCAAGUUUAUUUAGUGAAGCUUCUAGUGUAUGGAGAGAAUUUUCUUGUUGUUAUUUACUUUUGCUUCCUUCUUAUGUUCAGUAAUGUUUUUUAGGAGCUUAUGAAGUAAAAAAAAAAAAAAAAGAGGUUACCUGCAAGUCUCAGCAGCUCUUCUAUGGAACCAGCUUCAUGGUGUUUGAUUGGGAUGUUGGAUCUGCAAUAUGGAUACUGUGAAUGAAGUUCAAAUGAGUUUUAAAUAUUUGUGUCCCUGUCUUUGAUCACUGGCAUUUCCUUCUUCUGUCUUUGGACCACCACCAAGCCACUCCUGGAGAAGUGCAUC
This is a non-coding RNA of Camelina sativa (false flax), 335 nucleotides long. The record is from RefSeq and is a predicted model, not a curated record. NCBI's taxonomy places the organism in Eukaryota, Viridiplantae, Streptophyta, Magnoliopsida, Brassicales, Brassicaceae.